CCUACGGGAGGCUGCAGUGAGGAAUAUUGGUCAAUGGGCGCGAGCCUGAACCAGCCAAGUAGCGUGAAGGAUGACUGUCCUACGGGUUGUAAACUUCUUUUAUCAAGGAAUAAAGUGUGGCACGCGUGCCCUUUUGUAUGUACUUUAUGAAUAAGGAUCGGCUAACUCCGUGCCAGCAGCCGCGGUAAUACGGAGGAUCCGAGCGUUAUCCGGAUUUAUUGGGUUUAAAGGGAGCGUAGAUGGGUUGUUAAGUCAGUUGUGAAAGUUUGGGGCUCAACCGUAAAAUUGCAAUUGAUACUGGAAGCCUUGGGUGCAGUUGAGGUAGGCGGAAGUCGGGGUGUAGCGGUGAA
This 350-nucleotide ribosomal RNA is filed under the name uncultured bacterium. RNAcentral describes it as "partial 16S ribosomal RNA". It matches the Rfam family "Bacterial small subunit ribosomal RNA", at positions 338 to 685 of the family's 1533-position model. The record is from RNAcentral.